GAUGAAGAACGUAGCGAAAUGCGAUAAGUAAUGUGAAUUGCAGAAUUCAGUGAAUCAUCGAAUCUUUGAACGCACAUUGCGCCCCUUGGUAUUCCGAGGGGCAUGCCUGUUCGAGCGUCAUUAUAACCCCUCAAGCUCAGCUUGGUGUUGGGGCCUGCUGCACUGGCAGCCCUUAAAAUCAGUGGCGGCGCCAUCUGGCUCUAAGCGUAGUAAUUCUUCUCGCUAUGGAGUCCUGGUGGAUGCUUGCCAUCAACCCCCAAUUUUUCUAUGGUUGACCUCGGAUCAGGUAGGGAUACCCGCUGAACUUAAGGAUAUCAAUAAGCGGAGGA
This 329-nucleotide unclassified non-coding RNA is filed under the name soil metagenome. RNAcentral describes it as "partial contains 5.8S ribosomal RNA, internal transcribed spacer 2, and large subunit ribosomal RNA". The stretch from base 1 to 120 matches the Rfam family "5.8S ribosomal RNA", at positions 35 to 154 of the family's 154-position model. The record is from RNAcentral.